UCCUCCCCGGCGUCCAGAGCUCCGGGUGGCCGCGGCCGAGCCGGGAGCCGAGCGCGCUGGGCGCGGCCGUCCCGCUGCCGCCGCCAAGCCCGGAGUGCGCCAGCGGCCAUGGUUCCCGCGGCGGCGCCGGGCGCCUGAGCCCCGGGACGCAAGCGCUGGAGGCGGGCUGCCGGCUGUGCGGGCGCUCCGGAGAGACCGACAGAAGGUGAGCACUGUGGGCUAUGGGAUGGAUGAGGUGGAGCAGGACCAGCAUGAGGCCCGACUCAAGGAGCUGUUUGACAGUUUUGACACGACGGGCACAGGGUCCCUGGGGCAGGAGGAACUCACCGACCUUUGCCACAUGUUGAGCUUGGAGGAGGUGGCCCCAGUGCUGCAGCAGACAUUACUUCAGGACAACCUCUUGGGCAGGGUACAUUUUGACCAAUUUAAAGAAGCAUUAAUACUCAUCUUGUCCAGAACUCUGUCAAAUGAAGAACACUUUCAAGAACCAGACUGCUCACUAGAAGCUCAGCCCAAAUAUGUUAGAGGUGGGAAGCGUUACGGACGAAGGUCCUUGCCCGAGUUCCAAGAGUCCGUGGAGGAGUUUCCCGAAGUGACGGUGAUUGAGCCACUGGAUGAAGAAGCGCGGCCUUCACACAUCCCAGCCAGUGACUGCAGUGAGCACUGGAAGACGCAACGCAGUGAGGAGUAUGAAGCGGAAGGCCAGUUAAGGUUUUGGAACCCAGAUGACUUGAAUGCUUCACAGAGUGGAUCUUCCCCUCCCCAAGACUGGAUAGAAGAGAAACUGCAAGAAGUUUGUGAAGAUUUGGGGAUCACCCGUGAUGGUCACCUGAACCGGAAGAAGCUGGUCUCCAUCUGUGAGCAGUAUGGUUUACAGAAUGUGGAUGGAGAGAUGCUCGAGGAAGUAUUCCAUAAUCUUGAUCCUGACGGUACAAUGAGUGUAGAAGAUUUUUUCUAUGGUUUGUUUAAAAAUGGAAAAUCUCUUACACCAUCAGCAUCUACUCCAUAUAGACAACUAAAAAGGCACCUUUCCAUGCAGUCUUUCGAUGAGAGUGGACGACGUACCACAACCUCAUCAGCAAUGACAAGUACCAUUGGCUUUCGGGUCUUCUCCUGCCUGGAUGAUGGGAUGGGCCAUGCAUCUGUGGAGAGAAUACUCGACACCUGGCAGGAAGAGGGCAUUGAGAACAGCCAGGAGAUCCUGAAGGCCUUGGAUUUCAGCCUCGAUGGAAACAUCAAUUUGACAGAAUUAACACUGGCCCUUGAAAAUGAACUUUUGGUUACCAAGAACAGCAUUCACCAGGCGGCUCUGGCCAGCUUUAAGGCUGAAAUCCGGCAUUUGUUGGAACGAGUUGAUCAGGUGGUCAGAGAAAAAGAGAAGCUACGAUCAGAUCUGGACAAGGCCGAGAAGCUCAAGUCUUUAAUGGCCUCGGAGGUGGAUGAUCACCAUGCGGCCAUAGAGCGGCGGAAUGAGUACAACCUCAGGAAACUGGAUGAAGAGUACAAGGAGCGAAUAGCAGCCUUAAAAAAUGAACUCCGAAAAGAGAGAGAGCAGAUCCUGCAGCAGGCAGGCAAGCAGCGUUUAGAACUUGAACAGGAAAUUGAAAAGGCAAAAACAGAAGAGAACUAUAUCCGGGACCGCCUUGCCCUCUCUUUAAAGGAAAACAGUCGUCUGGAAAAUGAGCUUCUAGAAAAUGCAGAGAAGUUGGCAGAAUAUGAGAAUCUGACGAACAAACUUCAGAGAAAUUUGGAAAAUGUGUUAGCAGAAAAGUUUGGUGACCUCGAUCCUAGCAGUGCUGAGUUCUUCCUGCAAGAAGAGAGACUGACACAGAUGAGAAAUGAAUAUGAGCGGCAGUGCAGGGUACUACAAGACCAAGUAGAUGAACUCCAGUCUGAGCUGGAAGAAUAUCGUGCACAAGGCAGAGUGCUCAGGCUUCCGUUGAAGAACUCACCAUCAGAAGAAGUUGAUGCUAACAGCGGUGGCAUUGAGCCCGAACACGGGCUCGGUUCUGAAGAAUGCAAUCCAUUGAAUAUGAGCAUUGAGGCAGAGCUGGUCAUUGAACAGAUGAAAGAACAACAUCACAGGGACAUAUGUUGCCUCAGACUGGAGCUCGAAGAUAAAGUGCGCCAUUAUGAAAAGCAGCUGGACGAAACCGUGGUCAGCUGCAAGAAGGCACAGGAGAACAUGAAGCAAAGGCAUGAGAAUGAAACGCACACCUUAAAAAAACAAAUAAGUGACCUUAAAAAUGAAAUUGCUGAACUUCAGGGGCAAGCAGCAGUGCUCAAGGAGGCACAUCAUGAGGCCACUUGCAGGCAUGAGGAGGAGAAAAAACAACUGCAAGUGAAGCUUGAGGAGGAAAAGACUCACCUGCAGGAGAAGCUGAGGCUGCAACAUGAGAUGGAGCUCAAGGCUAGACUGACACAGGCUCAAGCAAGCUUUGAGCGGGAGAGGGAAGGCCUUCAGAGUAGCGCCUGGACAGAAGAGAAGGUGAGAGGCUUGACUCAGGAACUAGAGCAGUUUCACCAGGAGCAGCUGACAAGCCUGGUGGAGAAACACACUCUUGAGAAAGAGGAGUUAAGAAAAGAGCUCUUGGAAAAGCACCAAAGGGAGCUUCAGGAGGGAAGGGAAAAAAUGGAAACAGAGUGUAAUAGAAGAACCUCUCAAAUAGAAGCCCAGUUUCAGUCUGAUUGUCAGAAAGUCACUGAGAGGUGUGAAAGCGCUCUGCAAAGCCUGGAGGGGCGCUACCGCCAAGAGCUGAAGGACCUCCAGGAACAGCAGCGCGAGGAGAAAUCCCAGUGGGAAUUUGAGAAGGACGAGCUCACCCAGGAGUGUGCGGAAGCCCAGGAGCUGCUGAAAGAGACUCUUAAGAGAGAGAAAACAACUUCUCUGGUCCUGACCCAGGAGAGAGAGAUGCUGGAGAAAACAUACAAAGAACAUUUGAACAGCAUGGUCGUCGAGAGACAGCAGCUACUCCAAGACCUGGAAGACCUAAGAAAUGUAUCUGAAACCCAGCAAAGCCUGCUGUCUGACCAGAUACUUGAGCUGAAGAGCAGUCACAAAAGGGAACUGAGGGAGCGUGAGGAGGUCCUGUGCCAGGCAGGGGCUUCGGAGCAGCUGGCCAGCCAGCGGCUGGAAAGACUAGAAAUGGAACAUGACCAGGAAAGGCAGGAAAUGAUGUCCAAGCUUCUAGCCAUGGAGAACAUUCACAAAGCGACCUGCGAGACAGCAGAUCGAGAAAGAGCCGAGAUGAGCACAGAAAUCUCCAGACUUCAGAGUAAAAUAAAGGAAAUGCAGCAGGCCACAUCUCCUCUCUCAAUGCUUCAGAGUGGUUGCCAGGUGAUAGGAGAGGAGGAGGUGGAAGGAGAUGGAGCCCUGUCCCUGCUUCAGCAAGGGGAGCAGCUGUUGGAAGAAAAUGGGGACGUCCUCUUAAGCCUGCAGAGAGCUCAUGAACAGGCAGUGAAGGAAAAUGUGAAAAUGGCUACUGAAAUUUCUAGAUUGCAACAGAGGCUACAAAAGUUAGAGCCAGGGUUAGUAAUGUCUUCUUGUUUGGAUGAGCCAGCUACUGAGUUUUUUGGAAAUACUGCGGAACAAACAGAGCCGUUUUUACAGCAAAACCGAACGAAGCAAGUAGAAGGUGUGACCAGGCGGCAUGUCCUAAGUGACCUGGAAGAUGAUGAGGUCCGGGACCUGGGAAGUACAGGGACAAGCUCUGUUCAGAGACAGGAAGUCAAAAUAGAGGAGUCUGAAGCUUCGGUAGAGGGUUUUUCCGAGCUUGAAAACAGUGAAGAGACCAGGACUGAAUCCUGGGAGCUGAAGAAUCAGAUUAGUCAGCUUCAGGAACAGCUAAUGAUGUUAUGUGCGGACUGUGAUCGAGCUUCUGAAAAGAAACAGGACCUACUUUUUGAUGUUUCUGUGCUGAAAAAGAAACUGAAGAUGCUUGAGAGAAUCCCUGAGGCUUCUCCCAAAUAUAAGCUGUUGUAUGAAGAUGUGAGCCGGGAAAAUGACUGCCUUCAGGAAGAGCUGAGAAUGAUGGAGACACGCUACGAUGAGGCACUAGAAAAUAACAAAGAACUCACUGCAGAGGUUUUCAGGUUGCAGGAUGAGCUGAAGAAAAUGGAGGAAGUCACUGAAACAUUCCUCAGCCUGGAAAAGAGUUACGAUGAGGUCAAAAUAGAAAAUGAGGAGCUGAAUGUUCUGGUUUUGAGACUUCAAGGCAAGAUUGAGAAGCUUCAGGAAAGUGUGGUCCAGCGGUGUGACUGCUGCUUAUGGGAAGCCAGUUUAGAGAACCUGGAAAUCGAACCUGAUGGAAAUAUACUCCAGCUCAAUCAGACACUGGAAGAGUGUGGGCCCAGGGUUAGGAGUGUACAUCAUGUCAUAGAGGAAUGUAAGCAAGAAAACCAGUACCUUGAGGGGAACACACAGCUCUUGGAAAAAGUAAAAGCACAUGAAAUUGCCUGGUUACAUGGAACAAUUCAGACACAUCAAGAAAGGCCAAGAGUACAGAAUCAAGUUAUACUGGAGGAAAACACUAGUCUCCUAGGCUUUCAAGACAAACAUUUUCAGCAUGAGGCCACCAUAGCAGAGUUAGAACUGGAGAAAACAAAGUUACAGGAGCUGACUAGGAAGUUGAAGGAGAGAGUCACUAUUUUAGUUAAGCAAAAAGAUGUACUUUCUCACGGAGAAAAGGAGGAAGAGCUGAAGGCAAUGAUGCAUGACUUACAGAUCACGUGCAGUGAGAUGCAGCAAAAAGUUGAACUUCUGAGAUAUGAAUCUGAAAAGCUUCAACAGGAAAAUUCUAUUUUGAGAAAUGAAAUUACUACUUUAAAUGAAGAAGAUAGCAUUUCUAACCUGAAAUUAGGGACAUUAAAUGGAUCUCAGGAAGAAAUGUGGCAAAAAACGGAAACUGUAAAACAAGAAAAUGCUGCAGUUCAGAAGAUGGUUGAAAAUUUAAAGAAACAGAUUUCAGAAUUAAAAAUCAAAAACCAACAGUUGGAUUUGGAAAAUACAGAACUUAGCCAAAAGAACUCUCAAAACCAGGAAAAACUGCAAGAACUUAAUCAACGUCUAACAGAAAUGCUAUGCCAGAAGGAAAAAGAGCCAGGAAACAGUGCAUUGGAGGAACGGGAACAAGAGAAGUUUAAUCUGAAAGAAGAACUGGAACGUUGUAAAGUGCAGUCCUCCACUUUAGUGUCUUCUCUGGAGGCGGAGCUCUCUGAAGUUAAAAUACAGACCCAUAUUGUGCAACAGGAAAACCACCUCCUCAAAGAUGAACUGGAGAAAAUGAAACAGCUGCACAGAUGUCCCGAUCUCUCUGACUUCCAGCAAAAAAUCUCUAGUGUUCUAAGCUACAACGAAAAACUGCUGAAAGAAAAGGAAGCUCUGAGUGAGGAAUUAAAUAGCUGUGUCGAUAAGUUGGCAAAAUCAAGUCUUUUAGAGCAUAGAAUUGCGACGAUGAAGCAGGAACAGAAAUCCUGGGAACAUCAGAGUGCGAGCUUAAAGUCACAGCUGGUGGCUUCUCAGGAAAAGGUUCAGAAUUUAGAAGACACCCUGCAGAAUGUAAACCUGCAAAUGUCCCGGAUGAAAUCUGACCUACGAGUGACUCAGCAGGUAAAGGAGGCUUUAAAACAAGAAGUGAUGUCUUUACAUAAGCAACUUCAGAAUGCUGGUGGCAAGAGCUGGGCCCCAGAAAUAGCUGCUCAUCCAUCAGGGCUCCAUAACCAGCAGAAAAGGCUGUCCUGGGACAAGUUGGAUCAUCUGAUGAAUGAGGAACAGCAGCUGCUUUGGCAAGAGAAUGAGAGGCUCCAGACCGUGGUACAGAACACCAAAGCCGAACUCACGCACUCCCGGGAGAAGGUCCGUCAAUUGGAAUCCAAUCUUCUUCCCAAGCACCAAAAACAUCUAAACCCAUCAGGUACCAUGAAACCCACAGAGCAAGAAAAAUUGAGCUUAAAGAGAGAGUGUGAUCAGUUUCAGAAAGAACAAUCUCCUGCUAACAGGAAGGUCAGUCAGAUGAAUUCCCUUGAACAAGAAUUAGAAACAAUUCAUUUGGAAAAUGAAGGCCUGAAAAAGAAACAAGUAAAACUGGAUGAGCAGCUCAUGGAGAACUCAGUGGUUGGAAGUAGCAGAGAAGGGUGCAGUUCUCUGCCUGAGAUAGUGUGUGAAGAUGCAGCACCUGAGGUCCACUGCGACGCCUAGCCCGUCCCCUCAUGCUUGGGAUUUGCAGCUGCUCCAGCAGCAAGCCUGUCCGACGGUGCCCAGGGAGCAGUUUCUGCAGCUUCAACACCAGCUGCUGCAGGCAGAAAGGAUAAACCAGCACCUGCAGGAGGAACUUGAAAACAGGACCUCCGAAACCAACACACCACAGGGAAACCAGGAACAACUGGUAACUGUCAUGGAGGAACGAAUGAUAGAAGUUGAACAGAAACUGAAACUAGUGAAAAGGCUUCUUCAAGAGAAAGUGAAUCAGCUCAAAGAACAACUCUGCAAGAACACUAAGGCAGACGCAAUGGUGAAGGACUUGUAUGUUGAAAAUGCCCAGUUGUUGAAAGCUCUGGAAGUGACUGAACAGCGACAGAAAACAGCAGAGAAGAAAAAUUACCUCCUGGAGGAGAAGAUUGCCAGCCUCAGUAAUAUAGUUAGGAAUCUGACACCAGCGCCAUUGACUUCUACACCUCCUUUGAGGUCAUAGCCAAACCAAAGGGUACACUCAUAUUUGUGCACUUUACUGAAAUAGAUGAACAUUUCAGUAGGUUCUCAACUUAAAAUUAAGCCUAACCUAAAACUGCCAGCAACACAACUGGAGUUUCCAUUUAUCAUAAUUAGUUUUUCUAAGUAGACCCUUAUGGGAGUUUGAAAAUAAAUACUCACAUAUUUCACUACUUAAAUUAUUCCCAAGAUUUGAAUUUAUUUUAAAAUUUUAAUAGCCAUCAAGAAUGUAGACAUAUGAAAAUUCAAGAACCUAAAAAAUACCGGUUUUGAAUGAGUUUUUGUGGUUUUGGGGUUUUUUUUUUAAUUAUUACAAAUCUAUGUGUAAAGUCUAGAUAUUUGAAGUUUGAGAUCUGAUGAGAAUGGUUGUUAUAAACUUUAUUUUAAAACCAAAUUUAGGUGUUCUUACAUAUUUAAAUACUGGAAAGUCAUUAUAAAUAGUUUUGGUUCUUUGAAUUGGUAGACAAUUAGUAGAGUAUAAUUGGUUAGGAGGCAGGGCUUAUUAAGUGGUUAUUAACCACUGACAUCAGACAAACCCAAAUCUGUAGAAUUCUAACCUUCUAACGCCUGUGACAGUAUUACCACUCUUCUUGUAUUAUAGAUUUAGAACUCAUUUACUCAAUUGCACUCUUAACUAAUGUUAAAAGCUUACUUGCUUUAAACAGCCUUUUCUUCUUUCUCUUAAAAGUUUCAUUUGGGGAGCUGGUCUUCUAAGAAACGGAUAAAGCCACAUAAUUAAAGCAGUUGAACUAUAGGGAAAGCACUGAACAAACCACUUCGGAGUAAAUAGCUACUCUUAGAAAAGAGGGAUAAGCAGACCAUGUAGGUUUUCUGUCUCUCAAAUCUUGGAGUUCAUAAAUUUACUUGAGGUUGCCUCAAGAACUCAGGGAACGAUACUGUAAACUGUCUUCCUGAACUACUGUAGGGCCUCUCUAAGAAUUUGAAAUGUAUAAACCAUGUGACCUCAUUUAUUUGUCUUAUAUAUUUACAGCCAUACUAGAAUUUUUAUUUCUACGUUUUUAGUAAAUUUAAUAUUCUGGGGGAAAAAAGGCCUUGAUUUUAGGGUUAAAAACCUGACUUACAGAAGAGUUUAUUUAAUAUAGGUCAAAAUUUUCUGUGUUUCUUAUUCCUUCUAUACCUCAAAUCUGAUUCUAAGAAUUUCUUACUGUGAUAAUCAUUGGCAUGCCACCUGAGGUCAAGGAGUGCCAAAUAGGACUUUCCACUCAUGCUCAAGAUCAAAACUUUAUAGAACAGUCAACAUUUUAGAUUCGGUAACCUUUUUUUUCUUCCAAUUAUAAUCUCUGCUUCUAGCCACUUCCGCCAGCAGUUGGUGGAAGACUUACUAGGUGCAGGGCACUUUCCAAGCUCAUCACAACCACCUGCUUGUUUUCAUGAGACAAUAAUCCGAAAAGUUCGCUUUGAUAUAUUCCUGGAGGGCCAAGCCCAUCUAUUUACAAAAGGUGAACAGCAAAAUGAAGCACUACUUUAUGGGCAGGAACACAAGAGAAAACAAACUGCCCAAGAAGUCAUCAUGUCAGAAACUCAAUCUCAACAAAAUAAUUUCCAUCAGGGAACUUCAGGGUUUCUUGGGGGCUUAUGAGUCUCACCAGUCAACCCAGGAAGCCUCACUACAAGAGCCUUGACAAGGCACUGUUUUUUGUGGGACUGGGAGUUCACACUGAUGAAGCAAACCUUUGAAUUUUUGCACAGCUCUUGUCAGAAAGCCGAGUUCCCCCUGGAUAAAGAGUUAAUUUUAAUCCUUCCCUAUAAUUAUACUUCAAAAUAUUUGACAUCUGCUAUUACGCCUUCUUUAGAUCUUUCUUCUGCGGUGCAAACAUUUCUAGUAAGUGUUUGACUACUUGUAUGGCAUUAGCUUUCACAGAAAGUUGUUUCACUUAAAACUGUGGAUUGGCCUAGGCUAAGGACAAAAAUAAACUAAGUACCUGUAGUGUAUUUAUGUGAUAUGUGUCAAGUUACUCAAAGUUAUUGCUGUUGGAACUGAACAAUAAUAUUUCCCAGAUAGCUGGCCUUAGCAUGCGAUCACAGUUGUUGUAUUUUUAAUUUUUGUCUUUUACAGUAUGAGAGGUGUAGGUUAAUUUGUUUAUUUCCUAUAAAUUUGUAUUUAUGUGUAUAUAAAAUGUACAAUGAAUGUAAAUAUGACUUUCUGGAAAGUUUAGACUACAUUUAGAAUCUCUAUUCAAAAUCAAAAUGCUGCUCAAAUGAAUUUAACCAACAUCUAGGUGCUUAAUUUCUCAUUUUAUCCCACUUAUGAGAUUGGGAAAAAGAUCAAUAUGAGAAAUAUCAUACAGAUACCUUAAAUGUAUGCAUUUGUGCAACAAUUUUUGAGAAGGUGAGUGGCAAUUUAUAAUUUAGUUGGCAAUUUAUAAUAGAACUUAUAGCUUUUAAAAGACCUUUUAAAGACAUUAAGUGUAAACUUAAAAGUAUGUUUAGAUCUUGUUUCAAACUUUACAAUAGCACUCUUCAAAAUAUUAAGUUAUAUAUUUUAUAGGCAUUUAGUUGCUUAUUAAAAGCACUGAUUUUCAAACUUUUUGAUUUAAGAACAAUUAUUUAAGAUCGUCUCAGAAGAUGGGAUCUUCAAGAAAAGGGAAUCAAGUUUGCCUUUGAGAUAAUACGUUACACUAAGAAAAGGAAAAUGUGGAUAGUAAAACCCACCCCUCUCAUCCUAUUUUACUCUCUUCUGCUUUUUAGAAGCCUGCACUUAAGCUCAGAUUUGUGAAGGGAGAGUAGAAGGGAAGAAGUAGAACCACAGUGUUUUAUUUAUUUUUCUAAAACUCUUACUAAAUCCAGAUUUUUAAAACUGUUUUAAAUGUGAAUUCUUCCCAGAAAUUUCAAUGCAUUGCAUAUUUAGCCUUCGGCAUAUUUUUCAUGAGUAGAUCAUGAAGUCAUAGGCUUCCAAGGCAUAGGAAGAAUCUUGCAGGUCUAGGAUUUUAAUACUGCACUAUUACCCAGGGCAGACAUUAUGAGAAACUGUUUCUUCUCUAAGGGUUUAUGGCAGACUUUGCUUUUUUAACAUGUGAGAAAUGAAUUUUUUAUUUUGUGAUUUAUGUGAUUUCUUUUGCUGAGUGAAGGAAAGGAGAAAUUGUUGCUAUUGUCAGCAUCUUAAAGGUAUUUCCAGUCAAGGCAAGGCUAAGUGCUUUGUGAUAGUAUUAAGCAAGUCACGUUUUGAAUGGAUUACCUGUAGUGACUCAUGGGAAUGAUAUAAUUAUACAAGUAAUGCCAAAAACCAAGUCAAAGCCUAAUUAACCAAAGCACUCAUUUAAAAAUCAUCACGUUUGGACCUAUCUGGACCUCUCAGCACUGUAAAAUAGUUUUGGUUUUGUGGCAUAUGAAUAGCUGUUUAACAAAUCAAAGUUAGCUUUUUGCUUCUCAGCUUUUUUGGGCAAUCAAUACAAGUUAAGUUCUUAAUGGGGAGACAUUAUCAUGGCAUGACUUAAGGGAACAUUGGUUUGUGAAGGAAAAACAGAUUAUCUAAAGCCAUCUCUAUGUUUCUGUUCAGAUAAAGAUUAAUGAGUUCUGUGUUUAUAUCAGCUUUGUAUAUUUCAUCUUAGCCAUUCUAUCCUAGAAAGAUUUUAAUGUGAGCUUAAGAUGUAAAUAAAUAAUUUUGCAAACA
Pan troglodytes (chimpanzee) is the source of this 10337-nucleotide RNA transcript. It is a transcript of the gene named ninein, with no coding region annotated. The transcript has 32 exons. The record is from RefSeq and is a predicted model, not a curated record. Lineage: Eukaryota; Metazoa; Chordata; Mammalia; Primates; Hominidae.